This 437-nucleotide ribosomal RNA is filed under the name Taenia hydatigena. Its description in RNAcentral is "partial small subunit ribosomal RNA". The record is from RNAcentral. Lineage: Eukaryota; Metazoa; Platyhelminthes; Cestoda; Cyclophyllidea; Taeniidae.
CUUUGCUUUUUUAUAGACUGGAUUUAUAUAUUCAUAACUAAAAUUAGGUUAAAUUUUUUUUUUACAGAGUUAAAUAUUUAGAUUGAUGAAAGAUGUAUAAUAGUGACAGGGAUUAGAUACCCCAUUAAUGUACAUUGUAGCUUUGUCUUAGUUAAUAUAACUAAAAUAAUUUGGCAGUGAGCGACUCUUUUUAGGGGAAGGUGUGGUGUAAAGGAUGUUCCGCCUAAUAAUUUACUUUCGUUAUGUUGGUGUAUAUCUGGUUUAAUAUUAUCGUUGAGUAAGUGAGUUUGUGUAGUUUUAUUUAAGCCAAGUCUAUGUGCUGCUUAUGAAAGUAUUCAUGCGUUACAUUUAUAAGGUUUUGGUUGUAAUACUAAAAUAUUUAGGACUUAAAAGUAAUGUUCAAUAAGUUUGUGAGUGUGAAGUAAGUUUAGCUCAUG